UAAGAGAACAUCAGCGAAGGGAAAGUGAAGAUUGCAGGUACUCUCUCUUUUUUUCUUUUUUUUAGUAUCAUGUUAUAUAGUGGAAUGUAACUCUGCUGUAACUGAGAAUCAAUUAAUCUCAUCAACCGAUUUUGUUGGUUCAGCAUAGAGAUUUAUCAUUUGUACAUAUAUUUUUCUGAAAGGGCAUGGAGGAGUUGAUUGCAGGGAAAUAACUUGAAAAUUGUUUUACAGAAAAAGUAAGAUAAUAAUUUAUGAAUACUUCAGCUUAUUGGUGUGCUGUGUCGAUCUUGAACUAUCGACAUCAAUCCUGCAACUCUUUUUUUUUUUGUUCAGAUCUUUGAAAAGUCUUAUCUUUGCUAGACUUGGUAAUAUCAAGAAUCCUACUCUUCACGGUUUUCUAAUUGUAAAUAUCAAGUUUUCUUGAGUUUUAGAGGUGAAUGUAGAAAAACUGGUAUAUAAAGAACACGAUUUUGUUUAAGCAGAUGAACAACCGAAAAGAACAAAAAACAGAUUUUUUAGCAAAGAGAACAGAGAGCAGAAUAGUCUCCUAUAGGUUACUGUGCCAUCCAUUGUCUUUUAUUUAUAGAAAAAUCAUAACGAUUUUGAUAGGGAUUAUUUAUUCUUUUUAUAUGAUGUCAUAAUGUAUGUAAAUCCCAUAUAUAUCCAUUAUUCUUGAUUUAUUUAAAGUUUAUAUUGUGCUUACUUUGCUUUGCAAUUUGUAUCGUUUAGGACGUUUAUGAACAAGCAUAUAAAAUUUCAAGUCAAGGCUGCCCUUUUUAGAGUAUUUAUUUCAUGAUUCUUAGAAUCUCACGAGUGAAAUAAGUGACCUAUUUUUAUAUAGAAUUAUAAAAAUUUAAACUUUUUUUUUAAAUGAGAUUUUUUAUAUACACUUGCAAAUUAAAUUUUAUAGUGGUAAAUUGAUUCCAUCAAUAAUAUCUUGAUUAUUAUAAAAAAAUUGCAAAUGAAAUUUAAAACUAUAUACAUUGAGAAUCAAGUCCCUAUUAUUCUUGAGCAAAUAUUCCAUAAUUAGUUGUAGUUAUCUACUUCCAUGUGAUGUCAAUAUCAAAUUUACUACUUAAUCUUUUAUCUUGAUUUUGUUAUGGGGAAGAAAUACAAGAUAGAAGCUUAAAGUUUAAUUUAGACGAUCUGUACGAGAAAAAUGGAACAGGAAAUUAAACAAGGGCUAAAGAUGGUCUCCAUCGGGAAAUGAUUAACGCGUGUUAAGGGUGUAGUUGUUGGGGUCUCCAUUGACAAAGCCACCAUUGUGGUGAUGAACCUUGAUGGUGAAAGUGUUUCAAGAUGAUAAUGACAACACACAGUAGCCAAGUGACAUGGAGGAUGGAGAGGGAUGGAAAGUUGGUGAUGGCUUUGGAAAAAAGGCAGAGCUUUAUUUGUGGCAGUGUAUGGUAGUGCUCGACUAAGUGUUUCAUGGCUCUGCUUCUUCUUCAUGCUAGCAUUGAUGUUCAUCAUUUGUCCUCUACUUUUUCAGGUCUGGUAGCUGCAGUUUUUCUUGCUUGCUUUAGAGAGGGGCUGCUGGAUUAGUGUUUGAGUGUUGCAGCUUUCCUUCUUCAGUUUUUUUUUCUUCCCCUGCUUGCUUCCUCAUGGGUUCUGUUUCCAAUUUUUUUCUCUUUGGUCUUGCUUAAUCUGUCUUUGUGGUUUGCUCUUUUUAUGAAAGAUUGAUGACAGCUUCCAUUCUUUUUUCCUUUUUCUUUUUUCCAGUUUAUUAUAUCUUUAACAGCUUCCAUUCUUCCUUUUGAGAUGUUGGUUAGGUUUCUUUGUUGAAGUUGGAUCUCUUUAGGCAGAUUCGCUUCUGUAUUUUUUUUAUUUUGCCUUCUUUUUUCCCCUCCCAUAUGUUUAUGCCCAAAUUGAGGCAUUGUUUGCUGUGUUUUCCCUACAAUGUUUGUUUAAAUUCAGGAGAUGGUUCGUGUUUAUAUAGAUUUUUGUGUAGGAAUUUCUUCAUCCCUGUCGUGUUAAAUAAUUUAAGGGUUUCAAACUCUUUAUAGUUUAUACUUAACGAGAUUGUUUGAAGCAUGGUCGAAGGAAAAUUUCCCACCUGCUACUGUGGGAAUAUAACAAUGGCUUCUGUUACUCAGUCAAAAAUAAAAGAGUGAAUACCAUAAGCAUGGGUAUUGCUAGAGCUAGGAAUUCAAUAUCAAUACUUUUGCUUGAAUGUUAUUUAUGGUUGAUGACUUCUUUUUUUUCCCUCUUCACAGUUUGGGUGUUAGAUUGGAAGGCAGCAACACACCGGUUUUUUGGAUAUAGUCGCCUUGAUACUCUCGAUUCAGUUCAUAUGGCUGAUUUCUAUAGUUUUAAUCUAUGAGCAAUUUAAAUGCAGUCUGCUUAGAAGUUGAGAUGAGAAGAUGAAGGCUUAAGCUGAAGCAGACCAUGGAAAUAUACAGCAGUACAGCUUGCAAAGAAGCACUUUCUGCAAAAACGAAAGUAGUUCCAUUUCAUCAUCAACUGCACGAAAAGUUUGAAAGAAGUUCGCUGUCAUUGAACUCAAUCCUGCAUUUGAACAUGGACUCAGUUGGCUCAGGAAGAAACUUAACUGAAGAUAUCAACGUCUCACAAUUGAAGAUAUCAACGUCUCCAAAGAUUACCCCUGCGAAGUGCGGGCAUCAAAUCUAAGUGUAUAUAUAUAUUUAUAUAAAGGUUCAUAAAAUUUUCUUCA
Long non-coding RNA from Populus nigra (black poplar), 2671 nucleotides. RefSeq lists it as uncharacterized. The transcript has 2 exons. NCBI's taxonomy places the organism in Eukaryota, Viridiplantae, Streptophyta, Magnoliopsida, Malpighiales, Salicaceae. The record is from RefSeq and is a predicted model, not a curated record.